Myotis brandtii (Brandt's bat) is the source of this 74-nucleotide non-coding RNA. Lineage: Eukaryota; Metazoa; Chordata; Mammalia; Chiroptera; Vespertilionidae. The record is from Rfam.
CACUCAGGGAUGAGGUCCCCCAGCCUGGAUUGCAAGAGGGCACAGGCCAGGCUGAGGGACCCCAUCAGUGCAUG